RNAcentral lists this ribosomal RNA (48 nucleotides) under Pyramidula sp. 1 OR-2015. RNAcentral describes it as "partial 5.8S ribosomal RNA". The record is from RNAcentral. Lineage: Eukaryota; Metazoa; Mollusca; Gastropoda; Stylommatophora; Pyramidulidae.
UGGCGGCCNCGGGUCAAUCCCGNGGCCACGCCCGUCUGAGGGUCGGCU